GCGGGAGGGAUAAGCGCUGAAAGCAUCUAAGCGCGAAGCCCGCCUCAAGAUGAGAUUUCCCAAUUCGUAAGACCCCUGGAAGAACACCAGGUUGAUAGGCUCGGGGUGGAAGCGCGGCAACGCGUGCAGCUGACGAGUACUAAUCGGUCGAGGGCUUAUCCUAA
This 164-nucleotide ribosomal RNA is filed under the name Cohnella pontilimi. RNAcentral describes it as "Cohnella sp. CAU 1483 partial 23S ribosomal RNA". It matches the Rfam family "Bacterial large subunit ribosomal RNA", at positions 2755 to 2925 of the family's 2925-position model. The record is from RNAcentral. Lineage: Bacteria; Bacillati; Bacillota; Bacilli; Caryophanales; Paenibacillaceae.